This 71-nucleotide transfer RNA is filed under the name Salmonella enterica subsp. enterica. Its description in RNAcentral is "tRNA-Glu". The record is from RNAcentral. Lineage: Bacteria; Pseudomonadati; Pseudomonadota; Gammaproteobacteria; Enterobacterales; Enterobacteriaceae.
GUUCUUUGCAGUGCUCAGGACACCGCCCUUUCAUGACGGUAACAGGGGUUCGAAUCCCCUAGGGGACGCCA